AACGAACGCUGGCGGCAUGCCUAACACAUGCAAGUCGAACGAGACCUUCGGGUCUAGUUGCGCACGUGUGCGUAACGCGUGGGAACCUGCCCUUAGGUUCGGAAUAACUCCCCGAAAGGUGUGCUAAUACCGGUUAAUGUCUUCGGACCAAAGAUUUCUCGCCUUUGGAUGGGCCCGCGUUGGUUUAGCUAGUUGGUAGGGUAAAAGCCUACCAAGGCGACGAUCCAUAGCUGGUCUGAGAGGAUGAUAAGCCACACUGGGACUGAGACACGGCCCAGACUCCUACGGAAGGCAGCAGUGGGGAAUAUUGGACAAUGGGCGAAAGCCUGAUCAAGCAAUGCCGCGUGAGUGAUGAAGGCCUUAGGGUUGUAAAGCUCUUUUACACGGGAUGAUAAUGACAGUACCGGGAGAAGAAGCUCCGGCUAACUCCGUG
RNAcentral lists this ribosomal RNA (433 nucleotides) under uncultured bacterium. Its description in RNAcentral is "partial 16S ribosomal RNA". It matches the Rfam family "Bacterial small subunit ribosomal RNA", at positions 29 to 507 of the family's 1533-position model. The record is from RNAcentral.